UACGUAGGGUGCAAGCGUUAUCCGGAAUUAUUGGGCGUAAAGAGCUCGUAAGCGGUUUGUCGCGUCUGCUGUGAAAACUGGGGGCUCAACCCCCAGCCUGCAGUGGGUACGGGCAGACUAGAGUGCGGUAGGGGAGAUUGGAAUUCCUGGUGUAGCGGUGGAAUGCGCAGAUAUCAGGAGGAACACCGAUGGCGAAGGCAGGUCUCUGGGCUGUAACUGACGCUGAGGAGCGAAAGCAUGGGGGAGCGAACAGG
RNAcentral lists this ribosomal RNA (254 nucleotides) under uncultured bacterium. Its description in RNAcentral is "partial 16S ribosomal RNA". It matches the Rfam family "Bacterial small subunit ribosomal RNA", at positions 524 to 776 of the family's 1533-position model. The record is from RNAcentral.